This 376-nucleotide ribosomal RNA is filed under the name uncultured bacterium. RNAcentral describes it as "bacterial SSU rRNA". It matches the Rfam family "Bacterial small subunit ribosomal RNA", at positions 30 to 418 of the family's 1533-position model. The record is from RNAcentral.
AUUGAACGCUGGCGGCAGGCCUAACACAUGCAAGUCGAGCGGGGUUUUCGGACCUAGCGGCGGACGGGUGAGUAAUGCGUAGGAAGCUACCCGAUAGAGGGGGAUACCAGUUGGAAACGACUGUUAAUACCGCGUAAUGUCUACGGACCAAAGUGUGGGACCUUCGGGCCACAUGCUAUCGGAUGCGCCUACGUGGGAUUAGCUAGUUGGUGGGGUAAUGGCUCACCAAGGCGACGAUCCCUAGCUGGUUUGAGAGGAUGAUCAGCCACACUGGAACUGAGACACGGUCCAGACUCCUACGGGAGGCAGCAGUGGGGAAUAUUGGACAAUGGGCGCAAGCCUGAUCCAGCCAUGCCGCGUGUGUGAAGAAGGCCUC